This 2326-nucleotide long non-coding RNA is filed under the name Homo sapiens (human). Its description in RNAcentral is "non-protein coding lnc-WIPF3-1:1". Lineage: Eukaryota; Metazoa; Chordata; Mammalia; Primates; Hominidae. The record is from RNAcentral.
ACAUUUCACAGUUGCCAUGAAGACCGGGAGGUCUGCAAAAGCAGCGGGUACAAGUCAUUGAGGCCAAGAGGCGAGUCAGGCCUUUCUAGACCUCGCCCAACUCAGCUGGGCUGCGCUGGAAAUUGACCGGAACAGGAACUAUGAGAAAAUAGUCGGGCAAAUGAGAAGUAAGCUCAAAAGCCCGUUUCAAUCUUCCCACCCCAGCCAGUUGAAGCGGUGGCGCGGGGCCUCCCAAGCCUGGGAGCCAGAGAUGGAGGAAGAAGUGGAAGAGUUGGGGCUGCCUCUGAAGCUUUCGACCCUAGGCGGAGGGAACCUGCCAGGGGGUGCACGGAGGUCCGCAGUCUGAGAUGGCUGAAUAGCUGGAUGUGAUCGCCAAGACCCUUCUUCUUGGCUGCUUCCAGUUGAUCCAUAAUUUCCUGGUGCAGCUCCGGGAAAAGGUGCACGAACUGCAGGCGUGUGCGUUCUCCAGCAGGACCACUCUCGGCAUUGCCGUCUUUGUGGCAAUUUUACAUUGGUUACAUUUAGUAACACUUUUUGAAAAUGAUCGUCAUUUCUCUCACCUCUCAUCUUUGGAACGGGAGAUGACUUAGAUGACUUCUCCCACUGAAAUGGGACUUUAUUAUUCCUACUUCAAGAACAAUAUUGAAGCAUCUUCAUUUUUGGAAGGACUGUGGAUGAUUAUGAAUGACAGGCUUACUGAAUAUCCUCUUGUAAUUAAUACAGUAAAACGCUUCCAUCUUUAUCCAGAGGUAAUCAUAGCCUCCUGGUAUCGCACAUCCAUGGGAAUACUGAAUUUAUUUGGACUAGAAACUAACACCUGCUGGAAUGUCACCAGAAUAGAACCUCUUAAUGAAGUUCAAAGCUGUGAAGGAUUGGGAGAUCCUGCUUGCUUUUAUGUUGGUGUAGUCUUUAUUUUAAAUGGACUAAUGAUGGGAUUGUUCUUCGUGUAUGGAGCAUACCUGAGUGGGACUCAACUAGGAGGUCUUAUUACAGUACUGUGCUGCUUUUUCAACCAUGGAGAGGUCACUCGUGUGAUGUGGACACCACCUCUCCGUGAAAGUUUUUCCUAUCCAUUUCUUGUACUUCAGAUGUAUAUUUUAACUUUGAUUCUCAGGACCUCGAGCAAUGAUAGAAGGCCCUUCAUUGCACUCUGUCUUUCCAAUGUUGCUUUUAUGCUUCCCUGGCAAUUUGCUCAGUUUAUACUUUUUACACAGAUAGCAUCAUUAUUUCCCAUGUAUGUUGUGGGAUACAUUAAACCAAGCAAAUUUCAGAAGAUCAGUUAUCUGAACAUGGCAAUAAUUCUAAAGGAAAUAAAAUUUAAAAACUGGGAGUAUCUGAACUCAACUUUUGGGUAAGAUUCAGUAGUGCCUGGUGGUGUGGAACAAUCAUUUUGAAAUUUCUGACAUCUAAAAUCUUAGGCGUUUCAGACCACAUUUGCCUGAGUGAUCUUAUAGCAGCCAGAAUCUUAAGGUAUACAGAAUUUGAUACUUUAAUAUACACCUGUGCUCCCAAAUUUGACUUCAUGGAAAAAGCGACUCCGCUGAGAUACACAAAGACAUUAUUGCUUCCAGUUGUUAUGGUGAUUACAUGUUUUAUCUUUAAAAAGACUGUUCGUGAUAUUUCGUGUGUUUUAGCUACAAACACUUAUCUAAGAUGCUGUCUUCGCAGUGCCAUGCCUACAAUGGCAAGCGUGAAGCUGUCUACACUUCAUCCCAUUGUGAAUCAUCCACAUUACGAAGAUGCAGACUUGAGGGCCCAGACAAAAAUAGUUUAUUCUACAUAUAGUCGAAAAUCUGCCAAAGAAGUAAGAGAUAAAUUGUUGGAGUUACAUGUGAAUUAUUAUGUUUUAGAAGAGGCAUGGUGUGUUGUGAGAACUAAGCCUGGUUGCAGUAUGCUUGAAAUCUGGGAUGUGGAAGACCCUUCCAAUGCAGCUAACCCUCCCUUACGUAGCAUCCUGCUCGAAGAUGCCAGGCUCGAAGAUGCCAGUAUUUCAGAAUAGUGUGUACAGAGUAUUGAAGGUUAACUGAGAAGGAAACUACCCAUUACACUAUGGCACAAUGCCGUGUGUCAAAAACAAUCACCCUUUGGCUUAUUUACAUUAAUAAAAAUCACAAGCUUUAAUAACAGACACUUAAAAAUAAGAUAAAAAUGGAUUGAAAGUUUUUCUGAUUACUAAAAGGUAAAUUACUUUUCUGUUCAUUGAAUGUCAGCCUUAUUAAGCUUGUCAUAUAAAUUAUUCAAUCAUGUCAUACUGCAUAAACAAAUGUUCAUUUCAGAGUUUUAAAGAGAAAUGUAUAUAAAAGAACAAUGAAUUUUAAUAAAUCAA